GGUUAAGCGACUAAGCGUACACGGUGGAUGCCCUGGCAGUCAGAGGCGAUGAAGGACGUGCUAAUCUGCGAUAAGCGUCGGUAAGGUGAUAUGAACCGUUAUAACCGGCGAUUUCCGAAUGGGGAAACCCAGUGUGUUUCGACACACUAUCAUUAACUGAAUCCAUAGGUUAAUGAGGCGAACCGGGGGAACUGAAACAUCUAAGUACCCCGAGGAAAAGAAAUCAACCGAGAUUCCCCCAGUAGCGGCGAGCGAACGGGGAGCAGCCCAGAGCCUGAAUCAGUGUGUGUGUUAGUGGAAGCGUCUGGAAAGGCGCGCGAUACAGGGUGACAGCCCCGUACACAAAAAUGCACAUGCUGUGAGCUCGAUGAGUAGGGCGGGACACGUGGUAUCCUGUCUGAAUAUGGGGGGACCAUCCUCCAAGGCUAAAUACUCCUGACUGACCGAUAGUGAACCAGUACCGUGAGGGAAAGGCGAAAAGAACCCCGGCGAGGGGAGUGAAAAAGAAC
Molecule: ribosomal RNA, 509 nt
Filed under: Escherichia coli
Lineage: Bacteria; Pseudomonadati; Pseudomonadota; Gammaproteobacteria; Enterobacterales; Enterobacteriaceae
Description: bacterial LSU rRNA
Rfam family: Bacterial large subunit ribosomal RNA
Source: RNAcentral